AGCAGUAGCCGCGGUAAUACGUAGGUGGCGAGCGUUGUCCGGAAUUAUUGGGCGUAAAGGGAGCGCAGGCGGACAUAUAAGUCCAUCUUAAAAGUGCGGGGCUCAACCCCGUGAGGGGAUGGAAACUGUAUGCCUUGAGUGUAGGAGAGGAAAGCGGAAUUCCCAGUGUAGCGGUGAAAUGCGUAGAUAUUGGGAGGAACACCAGUGGCGAAGGCGGCUUUCUGGACUGCAACUGACGCUGAGGCUCGAAAGCCAGGGGAGCGAACGGGAUUAGAUACCCCCGUAGUCCCUGUCUCUUAUACA
RNAcentral lists this ribosomal RNA (303 nucleotides) under uncultured bacterium. Its description in RNAcentral is "partial 16S ribosomal RNA". It matches the Rfam family "Bacterial small subunit ribosomal RNA", at positions 507 to 809 of the family's 1533-position model. The record is from RNAcentral.